GAAACCUGCNCAUGGCUCAUUAAAUCACACCUAAUCUACAGGAUAAUUCAAGUUACUUGGAUAACUGCGGUAAUUCUGGAGCUAAUACAUGCUACAAACUGUGAACUUACGUGAGCAGUGCUUUUAUUAGAUCAAAACCAAACGUUCUAGGACGUACUCUUGGUGACUCUGAAUAACUUUGUGCAGAUCGUAUAGCCUAGUGUUUUUUACAUAUCCUUCGAAGGUGUGCCCUAUCAACUGUCGACUGUGGCAUAGACGCCCACAGUGGUUUUGACGGGUAACGGGGAAUCAGGGUUCGAUUCCGGAGAGGGAGCCUUAAAAACGGCUACCACAUCUAAGGAAGGCAGCAGGCACGCAAAUUACCCAAUGAACGCAGGUCGAGGUAGUGACGAAAAAUAACCGAUAGCGGGACUCCUCCGAGGCCCGCUAAUUGGAAUGGAGUACACUUUUAAAACCGUCCCCGAGGGAUCUAUU
Molecule: ribosomal RNA, 474 nt
Filed under: marine Metazoa environmental sample
Lineage: Eukaryota; Metazoa
Description: SSU rRNA
Rfam family: Eukaryotic small subunit ribosomal RNA
Source: RNAcentral